Molecule: ribosomal RNA, 2154 nt
Filed under: Staphylococcus aureus DAR1199
Lineage: Bacteria; Bacillati; Bacillota; Bacilli; Caryophanales; Staphylococcaceae
Description: bacterial LSU rRNA
Rfam family: Bacterial large subunit ribosomal RNA
Source: RNAcentral
UUAAGUUAUUAAGGGCGCACGGUGGAUGCCUUGGCACUAGAAGCCGAUGAAGGACGUUACUAACGACGAUAUGCUUUGGGGAGCUGUAAGUAAGCUUUGAUCCAGAGAUUUCCGAAUGGGGAAACCCAGCAUGAGUUAUGUCAUGUUAUCGAUAUGUGAAUACAUAGCAUAUCAGAAGGCACACCCGGAGAACUGAAACAUCUUAGUACCCGGAGGAAGAGAAAGAAAAUUCGAUUCCCUUAGUAGCGGCGAGCGAAACGGGAAGAGCCCAAACCAACAAGCUUGCUUGUUGGGGUUGUAGGACACUCUAUACGGAGUUACAAAGGACGACAUUAGACGAAUCAUCUGGAAAGAUGAAUCAAAGAAGGUAAUAAUCCUGUAGUCGAAAAUGUUGUCUCUCUUGAGUGGAUCCUGAGUACGACGGAGCACGUGAAAUUCCGUCGGAAUCUGGGAGGACCAUCUCCUAAGGCUAAAUACUCUCUAGUGACCGAUAGUGAACCAGUACCGUGAGGGAAAGGUGAAAAGCACCCCGGAAGGGGAGUGAAAUAGAACCUGAAACCGUGUGCUUACAAGUAGUCAGAGCCCGUUAAUGGGUGAUGGCGUGCCUUUUGUAGAAUGAACCGGCGAGUUACGAUUUGAUGCAAGGUUAAGCAGUAAAUGUGGAGCCGUAGCGAAAGCGAGUCUGAAUAGGGCGUUUAGUAUUUGGUCGUAGACCCGAAACCAGGUGAUCUACCCUUGGUCAGGUUGAAGUUCAGGUAACACUGAAUGAAGGACCGAACCGACUUACGUUGAAAAGUGAGCGGAUGAACUGAGGGUAGCGGAGAAAUUCCAAUCGAACCUGGAGAUAGCUGGUUCUCUCCGAAAUAGCUUUAGGGCUAGCCUCAAGUGAUGAUUAUUGGAGGUAGAGCACUGUUUGGACGAGGGGCCCCUCUCGGGUUACCGAAUUCAGACAAACUCCGAAUGCCAAUUAAUUUAACUUGGGAGUCAGAACAUGGGUGAUAAGGUCCGUGUUCGAAAGGGAAACAGCCCAGACCACCAGCUAAGGUCCCAAAAUAUAUGUUAAGUGGAAAAGGAUGUGGCGUUGCCCAGACAACUAGGAUGUUGGCUUAGAAGCAGCCAUCAUUUAAAGAGUGCGUAAUAGCUCACUAGUCGAGUGACACUGCGCCGAAAAUGUACCGGGGCUAAACAUAUUACCGAAGCUGUGGAUUGUCCUUUGGACAAUGGUAGGAGAGCGUUCUAAGGGCGUUGAAGCAUGAUCGUAAGGACAUGUGGAGCGCUUAGAAGUGAGAAUGCCGGUGUGAGUAGCGAAAGACGGGUGAGAAUCCCGUCCACCGAUUGACUAAGGUUUCCAGAGGAAGGCUCGUCCGCUCUGGGUUAGUCGGGUCCUAAGCUGAGGCCGACAGGCGUAGGCGAUGGAUAACAGGUUGAUAUUCCUGUACCACCUAUAAUCGUUUUAAUCGAUGGGGGGACGCAGUAGGAUAGGCGAAGCGUGCGAUUGGAUUGCACGUCUAAGCAGUAAGGCUGAGUAUUAGGCAAAUCCGGUACUCGUUAAGGCUGAGCUGUGAUGGGGAGAAGACAUUGAGUCUUCGAGUCGUUGAUUUCACACUGCCGAGAAAAGCCUCUAGAUAGAAAAUAGGUGCCCGUACCGCAAACCGACACAGGUAGUCAAGAUGAGAAUUCUAAGGUGAGCGAGCGAACUCUCGUUAAGGAACUCGGCAAAAUGACCCCGUAACUUCGGGAGAAGGGGUGCUCUUUAGGGUUAACGCCCAGAAGAGCCGCAGUGAAUAGGCCCAAGCGACUGUUUAUCAAAAACACAGGUCUCUGCUAAACCGUAAGGUGAUGUAUAGGGGCUGACGCCUGCCCGGUGCUGGAAGGUUAAGAGGAGUGGUUAGCUUCUGCGAAGCUACGAAUCGAAGCCCCAGUAAACGGCGGCCGUAACUAUAACGGUCCUAAGGUAGCGAAAUUCCUUGUCGGGUAAGUUCCGACCCGCACGAAAGGCGUAACGAUUUGGGCACUGUCUCAACGAGAGACUCGGUGAAAUCAUAGUACCUGUGAAGAUGCAGGUUACCCGCGACAGGACGGAAAGACCCCGUGGAGCUUUACUGUAGCCUGAUAUUGAAAUUCGGCACAGCUUGUACAGGAUAGGUAGGAGCC